RNAcentral lists this long non-coding RNA (219 nucleotides) under Nicotiana benthamiana. RNAcentral's name for it is "long non-coding RNA (NBEN_LNC011845)". Lineage: Eukaryota; Viridiplantae; Streptophyta; Magnoliopsida; Solanales; Solanaceae. The record is from RNAcentral.
UGUAAGAAACACGUUCUCGAACUAACGUGGGUUGAUUCAUGUAGGUUUUGAUAAAUGCCAAACAUUGAGCCAAGCAUCGGUGAUGGAACAAUAACAGACCAAGUACAAGAUGGAUAGUACGUGUUCAAGAAUAGAAGAUGCAAUCAACUGUUGAGUAGGUCUUAAUUUGUAAUCUUGACUCAACGACUUAUUUCUAAUAUUGGCUCUCACCUAAAAUGA